RNAcentral lists this ribosomal RNA (497 nucleotides) under uncultured bacterium. Its description in RNAcentral is "partial 16S ribosomal RNA". It matches the Rfam family "Bacterial small subunit ribosomal RNA", at positions 28 to 507 of the family's 1533-position model. The record is from RNAcentral.
GAUGAACGCUGGCGGCGUGCCUAAUACAUGCAAGUCGAGCGAACAGACGAGGAGCUUGCUCCUUCGACGUUAGCGGCGGACGGGUGAGUAACACGUAGGUAACCUACCUAUAAGACUUGGAUAACUUCGGGAAACCGGAGCUAAUACCGGAUAAUAUUUCGAACCGCAUGGUUCGAUAGUGAAAGAUGGCUUUGCUAUCACUUAUAGAUGGACCUGCGCCGUAUUAGCUAGUUGGUAAGGUAACGGCUUACCAAGGCAACGAUACGUAGCCGACCUGAGAGGGUGAUCGGCCACACUGGAACUGAGACACGGUCCAGACUCCUACGGGAGGCAGCAGUAGGGAAUCUUCCGCAAUGGGCGAAAGCCUGACGGAGCAACGCCGCGUGAGUGAUGAAGGUCUUCGGAUCGUAAAACUCUGUUAUUAGGGAAGAACAAACGUGUAAGUAACUGUGCACGUCUUGACGGUACCUAAUCAGAAAGCCACGGCUAACUACGUG